AUUUUAUUGUUUGAGAUGUCCAAUAUUAUGAUACAUAUCUUGGAAGUAGUUUGUAGCACUUACAAUUUCUAACAACUAACUGCACCCCUUUGUGCUUUUGCAUAGUCUCCUUGGCAAGACUAAUUUUGGAUUCUUGAGUUUUCGAUCUCUUUUUAAAUUCCUGAGUACAUGUUAAGUGUCUGCACUUAUGAGUCUUGGCUAAUUUACAGUUUUAAACAAACAGAAAGUCAAUGAUGCCAAGGUUCAGGUAGUGUUGACUUCUUCGAAUUGGUAAGUGUUAUAUAUGAAGAAAUUAUAAAUUCUCUCUCUCAGUUUAUUGAGUGUUUAUUCAUUUUAGCUACUUGAGUGUCUUUCUGUUACCAAACAAUUUAAGAAAUAGCUCGUUCGCUGAAAUAAGUUCCUCAUUAUGCUGCAUUGUUCUAAAUUUGUUGGUUCCAUAUUAAUUGUAACAUAGAAGGAAAUGGUGGAGGGAGGAUAAAGAUGGUUCGUCACCCUAAACUGCACAGUGCACUCCAGCAGCCUUGCUGGGGUUGAUAUCAGUUACUGAAUCUCAUUCCAUGCUUCUUUGUCAGUGCAUGUAAAUGCUUCAAGCAAGACAAUGCCGUCCAAUAUGGGAAUAAAAGGCUCAUCUUCGAGAAAUGUCACGUUAUUCAUCGACACGGUGAUCGUAAGCUGCAGUUGAAGUCCUGCAUUUCCUCUAUCCAUGAAUCAAAAGCUGUUUUGGUGGCCACUUCUUGGUUGCUUACUACCUCAGCGGAGUACUCUUAUCAUUUUGCAUUUGCCUCCUUGGACUCUACAUGUUUUUUUUUUUUUAUUCUACAAGAUCUCUUAUUGUUCAAAUGUGUGUUCCAGAAGUUCUUAACUUCAUUGUAUGUCCUUCCAGGUAGCCUACCAGCAAUUAGUGACCAUCUGCACCAAAAAAGAUGUGACAUAAGUAUAGCAAAAUAGCAGGAAAGCAGCAGGUGCAGCGGGGAAAAGUAGUGUCUGUACCCUUGGACAUGUCCAAAUGGUUUUAUAGUUUAGAUAUUACACAUUUAUUCUAUAAGAAACUGCACAAAAUAUAUUACAUGAGAAUUUUACAAUAAUUUAAUGGUUAAAUUGUAUUUUUCAUUUAAAUGAUUAUUCUGAAUUCUGGUUAUGGC
RNAcentral lists this long non-coding RNA (1142 nucleotides) under Capsicum annuum. Its description in RNAcentral is "long non-coding RNA (CANN_LNC020396)". The record is from RNAcentral. Lineage: Eukaryota; Viridiplantae; Streptophyta; Magnoliopsida; Solanales; Solanaceae.